AAAUAAGAAGCAAUAUUGCAUUUAAUUUCGACUUAAAAGACAGAGUUAAUUACUCCUUAUUUA
RNAcentral lists this transfer RNA (63 nucleotides) under Telchinia bonasia. Its description in RNAcentral is "Acraea bonasia tRNA-Arg". The record is from RNAcentral. Lineage: Eukaryota; Metazoa; Arthropoda; Insecta; Lepidoptera; Nymphalidae.